UACGUAGGUGGCAAGCGUUGUCCGGAAUUAUUGGGCGUAAAGCGCGCGCAGGCGGUUCUUUAAGUCUGAUGUGAAAGCCCACGGCUCAACCGUGGAGGGUCAUUGGAAACUGGAGGACUUGAGUGCAGAAGAGGGAAGUGGAAUUCCAAGUGUAGCGGUGAAAUGCGUAGAGAUUUGGAGGAACACCAGUGGCGAAGGCGGCUCUCUGGUCUGUAACUGACGCUGAGGCGCGAAAGCGUGGGGAGCAAACAGG
This 253-nucleotide ribosomal RNA is filed under the name uncultured bacterium. RNAcentral describes it as "partial 16S ribosomal RNA". It matches the Rfam family "Bacterial small subunit ribosomal RNA", at positions 524 to 776 of the family's 1533-position model. The record is from RNAcentral.